RNAcentral lists this transfer RNA (73 nucleotides) under Ornithorhynchus anatinus (platypus). It matches the Rfam family "tRNA". From Rfam's summary of the family: Transfer RNA (tRNA) molecules are approximately 80 nucleotides in length. Their secondary structure includes four short double-helical elements and three loops (D, anti-codon, and T loops). Lineage: Eukaryota; Metazoa; Chordata; Mammalia; Monotremata; Ornithorhynchidae. The record is from Rfam by way of RNAcentral.
AGCGGAGUGGCCUAGUGGAUAAAGCAUGGACCUUAGAGUCAGAAGAACCUGGGUUCUAAUCCCAGCUCCUCCA